GACGAACGCUGGCGGCGUGCUUAACACAUGCAAGUCGAACGGAAAGGCCCUGCUUUUGUGGGGUGCUCGAGUGGCGAACGGGUGAGUAACACGUGAGUAACCUGCCCUUGACUUUGGGAUAACUUCAGGAAACUUGGGCUAAUACCGGAUAGGAGCUCCUGCUGCAUGGUGGGGGUUGGAAAGUUUCGGCGGUUGGGGAUGGACUCGCGGCUUAUCAGCUUGUUGGUGGGGUAGUGGCUUACCAAGGCUUUGACGGGUAGCCGGCCUGAGAGGGUGACCGGACCCAUUGGGACUGAGCUACGGCCCAGACUACUCCGGGAGGCAGCAGUGGGGAAUAUUGCACAAUGGGCGGAAGCAUGAUGCAGCAAAGCCGCGUGCGGGAUGACGGCCUUCGGGUUGUAAACCGCUUCCGCCUGUGACGAAGCGUGAGUGACGGUAAUGGGUAAAGAAGCACCGGCUAACUACGUG
RNAcentral lists this ribosomal RNA (468 nucleotides) under uncultured bacterium. RNAcentral describes it as "partial 16S ribosomal RNA". It matches the Rfam family "Bacterial small subunit ribosomal RNA", at positions 28 to 507 of the family's 1533-position model. The record is from RNAcentral.